Molecule: ribosomal RNA, 497 nt
Filed under: uncultured bacterium
Lineage: Bacteria
Description: partial 16S ribosomal RNA
Rfam family: Bacterial small subunit ribosomal RNA
Source: RNAcentral
GAUGAACGCUGGCGGCGUGCCUAAUACAUGCAAGUCGAGCGAACAGAUGAGGAGCUUGCUCCUCUGACGUUAGCGGCGGACGGGUGAGUAAAACGUGGAUAACCUACCUAUAAGACUGGGAUAACUUCGGGAAACCGGAGCUAAUACCGGAUAAUAUAUUGAACCGCAUGGUUCAAUAGUGAAAGACGGUUUUGCUGUCACUUAUAGAUGGAUCCGCGCCGCAUUAGCUAGUUGGUAAGGUAACGGCUUACCAAGGCAACGAUGCGUAGCCGACCUGAGAGGGUGAUCGGCCACACUGGAACUGAGACACGGUCCAGACGCCUACGGGAGGCAGCAGUAGGGAAUCGUCCGCAAAGGGCGAAAGCCUGACGGAGCAACGCCGCGUGAGUGAUGAAGGUCUUCGGAUCGUAAAACUCUGUUAUUAGGGAAGAACAAAUGUGUAAGUAACUAUGCACGUCUUGACGGUACCUAAUCAGAAAGCCACGGCUAACUACGUG